RNAcentral lists this ribosomal RNA (492 nucleotides) under uncultured bacterium. Its description in RNAcentral is "partial 16S ribosomal RNA". It matches the Rfam family "Bacterial small subunit ribosomal RNA", at positions 30 to 507 of the family's 1533-position model. The record is from RNAcentral.
AUUGAACGCUGGCGGCAUGCUUUACGCAUGCAAGUCGAACGGUAACAGGCCUUCGGGUGCUGACGAGUGGCGAACGGGUGAGUAAUGCAUCGGAACGUGCCCAGAGGUGGGGGAUAACGCAGCGAAAGCUGUGCUAAUACCGCAUGUGAUCUGAGGAUGAAAGCGGGGGACCAGGCAGCAAUGUUUGGCCUCGCGCCUUUGGAGCGGCCGAUGUCAGAUUAGGUAGUUGGUGGGGUAAAGGCCUACCAAGCCGACGAUCUGUAGCUGGUCUGAGAGGACGACCAGCCACACUGGGACUGAGACACGGCCCAGACUCCUACGGGAGGCAGCAGUGGGGAAUUUUGGACAAUGGGCGCAAGCCUGAUCCAGCAAUGCCGCGUGCGGGAAGAAGGCCUUCGGGUUGUAAACCGCUUUUGUACGGAACGAAAAGGCUCUGGCUAAUACCUGGGGCUGAUGACGGUACCGUAAGAAUAAGCACCGGCUAACUACGUG